ACCAGGUGUGGUGGUGCACGCCUGUAAUCCCAGCUACUAGGGAGGUUGAGGCGGGAGAAUUGCUUGAACCCAGGAGGCAGAGGUUGCAGCGAGCUGAGAUCGGGCCAGUCCACUCCAGCCUGGGUAACAAAGCGAGACUCUGCCUCAG
This is a non-coding RNA of Gorilla gorilla gorilla (western lowland gorilla), 148 nucleotides long. It matches the Rfam family "Metazoan signal recognition particle RNA". From Rfam's summary of the family: The signal recognition particle (SRP) is a universally conserved ribonucleoprotein. It is involved in the co-translational targeting of proteins to membranes. The record is from Rfam. Lineage: Eukaryota; Metazoa; Chordata; Mammalia; Primates; Hominidae.